Molecule: long non-coding RNA, 3733 nt
Organism: Oncorhynchus tshawytscha (Chinook salmon)
Lineage: Eukaryota; Metazoa; Chordata; Actinopteri; Salmoniformes; Salmonidae
Source: Ensembl
AGUCACUCAAGAGACAUGCCCUUUGGUUGCACAAGCAUAAUGACUUGUGUUAAUUAUAGUAUAAAAAAAUGUGAGUUGUUGGGGAGAAGACAUUAACUUGACUCCUGAUCACACAGUCAGGUUCCAGCAUCUUGUUCUUGAAGAGACUGUCCCCAUGGCGACGAUGUUGACUGUCCUUAUCCUACUCAUCAUUGCCUUUGCAUGUGAGAGAGACACCUUCACACUACUAGAAUUUUUCUACGGCUGGCCAUGCUUUCCACCUGGCUACUCCUACCCCGGUCAACAGUACUGCACCCCCAACAGCAAUUCGCCCAAGCCUUCCCCAUUUCUCCUUCUCCCAAAUCCAUUCAGCUGAUGUUCUGAAAGAGCUGCAAAAUCUGGACCCCUACAAAUCAGCCGGGCUAGACAAUCUGGACCCUUUCUUUCUAAAAUUAUCUGCCGAAAUUGUUGCCACCCCUAUUACUAGCCUGUUCAACCCCUGUAAACAGGUCAAUGGAAUUCAACCAAAACAGUGAAAAUGCCAUGGAAACACCUCCCACGCAUCCCCCUGUGAGGGAUAGAUCUAGAAUCUCCUUAUUGCCACCCUUCAAAAUUAAGCUACAUUUUAAUAAUUUGCCUACAUUUACAGUGCAUUCAGAAAGUGUUCAGAGCCCAUUACUUUUUCCACAUUUUGAUAAGUUACUGCCUUAUUCUAAAAUGGAUAAAAUUGAUUUUUUUUUUUGCUCAAUAAACUACACACAAUACCCCAUAAUGUCAAAGCAAAAACUGUUUUUUAUAUAUUUUUUUUCUCCAAAUGUGUAUAUAUAUAUAAAAAAACUGAAAUAUCACAUUUACUUAAGCAUUCAAACCCUUUACUCUGUACUUUGUUGAAGGAUCUUUGGCAGUGAUUACAGCCUCGAAUCUUCUUGGGUAUGACACUACAAGCUUGGCACACCUGUAUUUGGGGAGUUUCUCCCAUUCUUCUCUGCAGAUCCUCUCAAGCUCUGUCAGGUUGGAUGGGGAGCAUUGCUGCACAGCUAUUUUCAGGUCUCUCCAGAGCUCUGUUAGAGUGACCAUCUGGUUCUUGGUCACCUCCCUGACCAAGGCCCUUCUCCCCCAAUUGCUCAGUUUGGCCGGGCGGCCAGCUCUAGGAAGAGUCUUGAUGGUUCCAAACGUAUUCCAUUUUAAGAAUGAUGGCCAUUGUGUUCUUGGGGACCUCCAAUGCUGCAGAAAUGUUUUGGUUCCCUUCUCCAGAUCUGUACCUCAACACAAUCCUGUCUCGGAGCCCUACAAACAAUUCCUUUGACCUCAUGGCUUGUUUUUUUCUCUGACAUGCACUGUCAACUGUGGGACCUUAUAUAGACAGUUUUGUGCCUUUCCAAAUCAUGUCAAAUCAAUUAAAUUUACCACAGGUGGACUCCAAUCAAGUUGUAGAAACAUCUCAAGGUUAAUCAAUGGAAACAGGAUGCACCUGAGCUCAAUUUCGAGUCUCAUAGCAAAGGGACUGAAUACUUAUGUAAAUAAGACCUGUCCUUUUCAGGUAACAGGACCCUGGAACCCUCAUCAUCUGGAACCGAGGAGCCGUCCUUCUCAGGUGACAGGACCCUGGAACCCUCAUCAUCUGGAACCGAGGAGCCGUCCUUCUCAGGUGAUAGGACCCUGGAACCACCAUCAUCUGGAACCGAGGAGCCGUCCUUCUCAGGUGACAGAACCCUGGAACCUCCAUCAUCUGGAACCGAGGAGCCAUCCUACUCGGGUGACAGGACCCUGGAACCCCCAUCAUCUGGAACCGAGGAGCCAUCCUACUCUUCUGACAGGACCCUGGAACCUUCAUCAUCUGGAACCAAGGAGCCGUCCUUCUCAGGUAACAGGACCCUGGAACCACCAUCAUCUGGAACAGAGGAGCCGUCUUUCUCAGGUGACAGGACCCUGGAACCCCCAUCAUCUGGAACCGUGGAGCCGUCCUUCUCAGGUGACAGGACCCUGGAACCACCAUCAUCUGGAACCAAGGAGCCGUCUUUCUCAGGUGAUAGGACCCUGGAACCCCCAUCAUCUGGAACCGAGGAGCCGUCCUUCUCAGGUAACAGGACCCUGGAACCCCCAUCAUCUGGAACCGAGGAGCCGUCUUUCUCAGGUGACAGGACCCUGGAACCACCAUCAUCUGGAACCGUGGAGCCGUCUUUCUCAGGUGACAGGACCCUGGAACCCCCAUCAUCUGGAACCGUGGAGCCGUCUUUCUCAGGUGACAGGACCCUGGAACCCCCAUCAUCUGGAACCGUGGAGCCGUCUUUCUCAGGUGACAGGACCCUGGAACCCCCAUCAUCUGGAACAGAGGAGCCGUCCUCCGGAGUGUGAGAAGAUCAUGAACAGCAACGGGAGAGUUGAUAAUAUUGAUUACCAUGAUAUUGACCAGGGUAUAUUUUUUUACAUGGAUAUUGCAGUGUCAUUUCAGACACAGCCUGAGAGGGAAAAGUACAGCAAUUGUUUGUCAGAUUUAUUUAGCAUAAUUGUUAACUUUUCUGCUAUCCUGUCUAGUAACUUUCCAUAACUAUGUAGACAGUAAAGCCUUAUAUGCUGUAGUGUGUCUUUCACUGAAGCUUUCCUAUCCUCUGUGCUGACUGUCAUUAGCAGACCUGGGCUCAAACAUACUAUCUGAAAUCUUCCAAAUACUUUGAGUGUUUUAUCUAGCCUGUCUGAAGUGCUGGAUGGGCAGUGUUUGCAGUUUUGGGACAAUUGUAUUGGUCAAUUUUACCAUGCAGGCUCAUUCAAGCACAGAUUAAGUAUUUGGAAUGAUUUCAAAUAGUAUUUUAACCAGGUCUGGACAUAAGAAAAUAUUACAUAACAUAUACAUGUAAGAUCCUGUUUUUGUUAUUUUAUCCCCCUCUACUUUACACAGGGCAGGAGGCCUUCCAGGCUUCUGGUCUAUCAGAUGUCAAAGACCUCUGUAGUACCACUUCAUACAGAGUUUGACUCUUUCUAUCUUCUGUUUCAUCAUCUAAACCCUGUGUCCCAUCAUGUAGUUGUUUUGGAGGCAUUCUGUCAUGGAAUAAAUCUAUAUGAUCAAGAUCAUCUUGUCCUAGUUGCAAGGUCCCUCCUGGGAAGGUGGGUGGGGUCAUUUCUUUUUCUUUGCAAUUUUCUCUCUUUGCAAUUCUGUCACUAUUGUGAAAGUUGUUUUAGACUUAAAGCAUAUAGCCCAAUUGACAAGUACUUCAUGACUGUGCCACCAGUGGACGCUGCUAAGGGGAGGACGGCUCAUAAUAAUGGCUGGAAUGGAGUCAAUGGAACGCUAUCAAACGUGGUUUCCAUGUGGUUGAUACCAUUCCAAUGACUCCAUUCCAGGCAUUACUAUGAGCCGUCCUCCCCACAGCAGCCUCCACUGUGUGCCCACAUUGUAAUUGAUAUACAGUAUGUUUGCCAAGGUUAUACAGUGUAAGAUUAAGUAGUGUAUGGUUCCAACUUGUAUAGAUCACGGUAACAUAUAAUGUACUAACAAUAUCAAUAUUAUGUUUGCGUUUUCUCUAGGCAAUGUUAUUGUACUGUACUUCUUCAUAUUGCACUCGGUGAACCAGAACUGUGUGUGUGCGUGUGUAUGCAUAUGUAUUGCUUGAUUAGGACAAGCAAUACAAACGCAAAAGUGUUUACUUCUCUUGAGACGAGUAUGAUGAAGAGAGGAAAAAAAGAGUUGUCGAGUUGCAUAAACGCCCAGGCUUUGGGGAAGUGUUGCUACUAUUAAAUAAAGAAGAGAUGAUUAAUG